UCUCCUUUCAGGGAACGUCAUGCAGAUAAUCAAAGGUCAGUUCCUGGUCAACAUAAGUAAACAAGCUUAUUUAAGGCCUUACACUGUCUUUGGCUUGGAGAUGGGGUUUCACCAAGGACCUGCCCCUAUCUGCCUAGGCAUUUGGCUGCCUCCUGCCUCUCUCACUACAAGCUGGAAACCCCAAGAAAAUGGAUUAUCCCCUAUAAUGUCCAGAAAGAAACACAGUCCAGCAGACACCUGAGCUUUAGGCCAAUGAGCUCUGUGCAACACUUCUUCUGCCUUUCAGAAUUGUCUCUCUAUUCCCUGAGAAAAACCAAUCCUGAAAUUAGGCCGGUUAAUAACCCAACAACAGCCUGCCUGUGUUCAAGUGAAAGAAGAGUUGGAUGUCUCUCACUUUUAAUCAGAAGCUAGAAAAGAUUAAGCUUAGUGAGGAAAGCAUGUUGAAAGCCAAAAUAGGCUUAAAUCUAGACCUCUUAUGCCAAACACUUACCCAAGUUGUAAAACCAAACAAAAACUGUUUGAAGGACAUUAAAAGUGAUACUCCAGUGAACACACGAAUGAUAAGAAAGCAAAACAGUCUCCUUGGUGAUAUGGGGAAAGUUUUAGUGGUCUGGAUAGAAGAACAAACCAGCUACAACAUUCCCUUAAACUGAAGCCUAACACAGGGCAAAGUUCUGACUCUCUUUAAUUCUAUGAAGGCUGAGAGAAAUGAGGAAGUUACAAAAGAAAAGUUGGAAGCUAGCAGAGGUUAAUUUAUGAGGUUUAAGGAAAGAAGCCAUCUCCAGAACUUAAAGGUGCAAGGUGAAGCAGCAAGUGCUGAUGGAGAAGCUCAAGCAAGUUAUCCAGAAGAUCUAGCUAAGACCAUUGAUGAAGGCUACAUUAAACAACAGAUUUUCAAUGUAGACAAAACAGCCUGCUAUUGUAAGAAGAUGUCUUCUAGGACCUUCAUAACUAGAGAGAAGUCAAUGCCUGGCUUCGAAGCUUCAAAGUACAGGCUGAUGCUUCUGUUGGGAGCUAAUGCAGCUGGUGACUUUAUGUUGAAGCCAAUACUCCAUUCUGAAAAUCCUAGGGCCCUUAAGAAUUAUGUUCAAUCGACUCUGCCUGUAUUCUAUAAAUGAAACAACAAAGGCUAGGUGACAGGACAUGUGUUUACAGCAUGCUUACUGAGUGUUUUAGGCCUGUUGUUGAGACCUACUGCUCAGGAACAAAAAGAUUCCUUUCAUAUUACUGCUCAUUGACAACGCACCUGGUCACCCAAGAGCUCUGAUGGAGAUGUACAAGGAAAUUAAUGUAGUUUUCAUGCCUGCUAAUACAACAUCCAUUCCACAGCCCAUGGAUCAAAGAGUAAUUCUGGUUUUAAAGUUUUAUUAUUUAAGAAAUACAUUUUGUAAGGAUAUAGGUGGCUUAGAUGGUGAUUCUUUUGAUGGAUCUGGGUAAAGUAAAUUGAAAGCCUCCAGAAAGCAUGCACCUUUCAAGAUGUCAUUAAGAACAUCUAUGAUUCACAGGAGGACCAAAUAUCAACACUAACAAGAAUUUGGAAGAAGAUGAUUCCAACUCUCAUGCAUGACUUUGAGGGAUUCAAUACUUCAGUAAAGGAAGUAACUGCAGAUGUGGUAGAGAUAGCAAGAGAACUAGAAUUAAGAGUGGAGCCUGAAGAUAUGACUGAAUUGCUUAAAUUUCAUGUUAAAACUGUAACAGAUGAGAAAAAUUGCAUCUUACGGGUGAACAAAGAAAAUGGUUUCUGAGUUGGAAUCUACUCCUGGGGAAGAUGCUAUGAACAUUGAUGAAGUCACAACAAAUAAUUUACAAUAUUAUAUAAAGUGAAUUGAUAAAGUAGCUGCAGGGUUUUACAGGAUUGACUCCAAUUCUGAAAUAAGUCCUACUGUGGGUAAAAUGCUAUCAAACACCAUGCAUGCUACAGAGAAAUUUUUUGUGUAAAGAAGAGUUGGUCUACGUGGCAAACUUCACUGUGGUCUUAUUCCACAAAAUUGCCACAGCCACCACCCUGAUCAGUCAACCACCAUCAACAUCUAGGCAAGACCCUCCAUCAGCAAAAAUACUAUGAUUGGCUGAAGGCUCAGAUGAGCAUUAGCAUUCUUUUAGCAAUAAAGGGAUUUUUAAAAUUAA
Molecule: long non-coding RNA, 2127 nt
Organism: Homo sapiens (human)
Lineage: Eukaryota; Metazoa; Chordata; Mammalia; Primates; Hominidae
Exons: 3
Source: RefSeq, a predicted model, not a curated record